Caenorhabditis elegans is the source of this 107-nucleotide non-coding RNA. The record is from Ensembl. NCBI's taxonomy places the organism in Eukaryota, Metazoa, Nematoda, Chromadorea, Rhabditida, Rhabditidae.
UUUGACACACGCACGCGAUGUAAAGAUGGAUUGAUUCUAACACUCUCGGCUUUUGAACAGCGUGCCAAUCGGAAUCCGAAUCGUGCACAAAAAAAUCACGAGCCGAG